UACGGGGGGAGCAAGCGUUAUCCGGAAUGAUUGGGCGUAAAGCGUCUGUAGGUGGUUUAGAAAGUCUGCUGUCAAAUCCCAAGGCUCAACCUUGGUUAGGCGUCAGAGUACUUCUAAGCUAGAGUAUGGUAGAGGUAGAGGGAACUCCUAGCGUAACAGUGAAAUGUGUUGAUUUUAGGAAGAACACCAGAGGCGAAGGCGCUCUACUGGGCCAUAACUGACACUGAGAGACGAAAGCUACCGGAGAGAAUAGGAUUAGAUACCCUAGUAUUGGUAGCCGUAAACGAUGGAAACUAAGUGUUGCCGAAAAGCAGUGCUGUAGCUAACGCGUUAAGUUUCCCGCCUGGGGAGUAUGCUCGCAAGAGUGAAACUCAAAGGUAUUGACGGGGAAUCGCACAAGCGGUGGAUUAUGUGGUUUAAUUUGAUGUUACACGAAGAACCUUACCAGCGUUUGACAUGUUCAGAAUUCUCCAGAGAUGGAGAAGUGCCAGAAAUGGAACUGAAACACAGGUGGUGCAUGGCUGUCGUCAGCUCGUGCGUUGACGUGUAUGGUUAAGUCCUGCAACGAGCGCAACCCUCGUCUUUAGUUGAUAUACUCUAGAGAGACUGCCAGUGUAAACUGGAGGAAGGUGAGGAUGAUGUCAAGUCAGCAUGCCCCUUACACGCUGGGCUACACACGUAAUACAAUGGUACGAGACAAUCAGAAGGUCGCCUGUCAAAGGUUAGAUAAUUUUCUAUUAAUGAACUGAAUCUGUUAAACUCUGCCCUAGUUCGGAUUGCUGGCUGCAACUCGCCUGCAUGAAGCUGGAAUCGCUAGUAAUCGCCGGUCAGCUAUACGGCGGUGAAUACGUUCUCGGUUCU
RNAcentral lists this ribosomal RNA (861 nucleotides) under uncultured organism. RNAcentral describes it as "SSU rRNA". It matches the Rfam family "Bacterial small subunit ribosomal RNA", at positions 524 to 1381 of the family's 1533-position model. The record is from RNAcentral.